GCAUUGCUGAGGAGUUCCAUAAUAGGACGAAACAGCCGUUCAUUGC
Non-coding RNA from Schistosoma haematobium, 46 nucleotides. The record is from Rfam. Lineage: Eukaryota; Metazoa; Platyhelminthes; Trematoda; Strigeidida; Schistosomatidae.